Molecule: long non-coding RNA, 846 nt
Organism: Megalobrama amblycephala (Wuchang bream)
Lineage: Eukaryota; Metazoa; Chordata; Actinopteri; Cypriniformes; Xenocyprididae
Exons: 3
Source: RefSeq, a predicted model, not a curated record
UCAUUCGCUUUCCUGCGCGUUUGGAAGAUGGCACACUACACAGGUGAGCAGGCUCUUCAGUGGUCCUGGACAGUGAGGAAGAGUUCACAUUUCCUCGGAAGAAGAACACGACUCUGACGAUGAACGUCUGUAUUUUGAAGAGCGACUUGAUCCAGCUGAAGAUACAGUUUCUGAUGAGAAUGUGGAUCCAUCACUCUCACAUUCACCUGCAAUUCCCACUAAGAGGGCACCCAGCAACACAGGCGGAAAUGAGAAAGACUAUAGCCCUAAUGAGAGUGCUCCAAAACCCCUUGCAAAAAAGGCCAAGAAAAACAUUCAGACAAGCAACAGGCAUUCAGCUCUGUCAUGGAAACAGAUAAUGACACUGACAUGGUUCCACAGACUCUGAGAUUCCUACCUGCACGGGAACCUGGACCACAGCUGCGUCCUGCUGAUGAAACACACUCCUAAGAGUCUCUUCAAAAUGUUCAAAAUGCAAGGAAUAAUGCCACCGCUGGUCGUCGGAACUGCAUGCUUUGCAAAGUACAGCUUGGUAAAAGGCAAGACACACCUUGGAAAUGCCAGGCAUGUGACAUUUACUUGUGUCUUCAGUUGAAAAGGAACUGUUUUCAAAAAUGGCACACAGAUGUGUGACUGUUCAGAUUCUCUGUUCACCACUUCUCACUGACCAUUGGGCUGCAAAGAUUAUCUAUAUGUGAUCAAGCAGGUUAUGUAUAGGGUGUAAAAGUGGGCUUUUUUUAUAAACCUUACCUUUAUUUGCCUGUAUACACAAAAUGUGCCUUUGACCCUAGUUUAUAUGUGGAUUAUAUUGUUAACUUUAUUUUAAAUAAAAAAGAAAAAAAACAA